CCUACGGGAGGCAGCAGUAGGGAAUCUUCGGCAAUGGGGGCAACCCUGACCGAGCAACGCCGCGUGAGUGAAGAAGGUUUUCGGAUCGUAAAGCUCUGUUGUAAGUCGAGAACGAGUGUGAGAGUGGAAAGUUCACACUGUGACGGUAGCUUACCAGAAAGGGACGGCUAACUACGUGCCAGCAGCCGCGGUAAU
RNAcentral lists this ribosomal RNA (195 nucleotides) under uncultured bacterium. RNAcentral's name for it is "partial 16S ribosomal RNA". It matches the Rfam family "Bacterial small subunit ribosomal RNA", at positions 338 to 524 of the family's 1533-position model. The record is from RNAcentral.